CACCCGGAGCGUUUCAAGGCUACCAACUCUGGUGAAAGACAAUAAUCCUGACAAACAAGAUAUACUUUUGAAUGAUCAUGGUUUGCCUCGGGUGACGAAACAUGCAAAGCUGCCUAGUUAUAUGGGCUUAAUGGCGAGGAUGCUUAUCCCGAUUCAUAUUGACUCGUGGAAUUAUGUUAACACUACACAGAAAGAUGCAUUGUGGGAUUGUAUUAAGAGUCGAUUCAAUAUUGAACCACACCUGAAAAAGACGAUGUUGCAAAAUUGCGGAAGUCUGUGGAGAACUUUUAAGUCCCGACUCACAAAAGACUAUGUUCUGCCAUUCAAGGAUGAACCUCAGAUUCUUAAGAAGCCUCCCCAGUUGUACCCAUAUAUCAAGCAACAUCAUUGGGACGCUUUUGUGAAAAGAAGAUUAUCUUCUGAAUUUAAGGAUAUCCAUGAUGAACAAUCAUAGAAGCGAUCUCUGAACAUUUAUGGCUGCCGCACCGGCCGUGCCGGAUACACAGGACUGGCGGAAAAAUUA
This is a long non-coding RNA of Papaver somniferum (opium poppy), 523 nucleotides long. RefSeq lists it as uncharacterized. Lineage: Eukaryota; Viridiplantae; Streptophyta; Magnoliopsida; Ranunculales; Papaveraceae. The transcript has 3 exons. The record is from RefSeq and is a predicted model, not a curated record.